RNAcentral lists this transfer RNA (76 nucleotides) under Candidatus Solibacter usitatus Ellin6076. RNAcentral's name for it is "tRNA-Thr (TGT) (tRNA-Thr-TGT-1-1)". It matches the Rfam family "tRNA". From Rfam's summary of the family: Transfer RNA (tRNA) molecules are approximately 80 nucleotides in length. Their secondary structure includes four short double-helical elements and three loops (D, anti-codon, and T loops). Further hydrogen bonds mediate the characteristic L-shaped molecular structure. tRNAs have two regions of fundamental functional importance: the anti-codon, which is responsible for specific mRNA codon recognition, and the 3' end, to which the tRNAs corresponding amino acid is attached (by aminoacyl-tRNA synthetases). tRNAs cope with the degeneracy of the genetic code in two manners: having more than one tRNA (with a specific anti-codon) for a particular amino acid; and 'wobble' base-pairing, i.e. permitting non-standard base-pairing at the 3rd anti-codon position. The record is from RNAcentral. RNAcentral also lists the same sequence under 5 other names. Lineage: Bacteria; Pseudomonadati; Acidobacteriota; Terriglobia; Bryobacterales; Solibacteraceae.
GCCGGCGUAGCUCAGUUGGUAGAGCAUCUGAUUUGUAAUCAGAGGGUCGGGGGUUCAAAUCCCUCCGCCGGCUCCA